CCCCGCCUGGGGAGUACGCCCGCAAGGGUGAAACUCAAAGGAAUUGACGGGGGCCCGCACAAGCGGUGGAGCGCGUGGUUCAAUUCGAUGCUAAGCGAAGAACCUUACCUGGGCUUGACAUGCCGGUGGUACGAACCCGAAAGGGGGAGGACCCGGGGUAACCUGGGAGCCGGCACAGGUGUUGCACGGCUGUCGUCAGCUCGUGCCGUGAGGUGUUGGGUUAAGUCCCGCAACGAGCGCAACCCCUGCCCUUAGUUGCCAUCAGCGGUCACGUACCGGCUGGGCACUCUAAGGGGACUGCCGGCGAUGAGCCGGAGGAAGGUGGGGAUGACGUCAAGUCCGGGUGGCCCUUAAGCCCAGGGCUACACACGCGCUACAAUGGGCGGUACAGAGGGUUGCAACUCCGCGAGGAGGAGCUAAUCCCUAAAACCGCUCCCAGUUCGGAUUGCAGGCUGCAACUCGCCUGCAUGAAGGCGGAAUCGCUAGUAAUCGCCCAUCAGCAUGGGGCGGUGAAUACGUUCCCGGGCCUUGUACACACCGCCCGUCACGCCAUGGAAGCCGGGGGCGCCUAAAGUCACUCGCCCAACCCCGCAAGGGGAGGGAGGUGCCUAGGGCGAACCCGGUGACUGGGGCGAAGUCGUAACAAGGUAGCCGUACGGGAACGUGCGGCUGGAUCACCUCCUUUCUUAAGGAGCA
Molecule: ribosomal RNA, 696 nt
Rfam family: Bacterial small subunit ribosomal RNA